RNAcentral lists this ribosomal RNA (800 nucleotides) under uncultured bacterium. RNAcentral describes it as "bacterial SSU rRNA". It matches the Rfam family "Bacterial small subunit ribosomal RNA", at positions 8 to 782 of the family's 1533-position model. The record is from RNAcentral.
AGAGUUUGAUCCUGGCUCAGAACGAACGCUGGCGGCGUGCCUAACACAUGCAAGUCGAACGAGAAGUACGUAGCAAUACGUAUUGUAAAGUGGCGCACGGGUGAGUAACACGUGGGUAAUCUGCCCUCGAGUUUGGGAUAACCCCGCGAAAGCGGGGCUAAUACCGGAUAAGACCACGGGAACCAAAGUCCCUGAGGUAAAAGGUGGCCUCUAUUUAUAAGCUACCACUUGAGGAUGAGCCCGCGGCCCAUUAGCUAGUUGGCAGGGUAACGGCCUACCAAGGCGAUGAUGGGUAGCUGGUCUGAGAGGACGAUCAGCCACACUGGAACUGAGACACGGUCCAGACUCCUACGGGAGGCAGCAGUGGGGAAUAUUGCGCAAUGGGCGAAAGCCUGACGCAGCAACGCCGCGUGGGGGAUGAAGGUUCUCGGAUUGUAAACCCCUUUCGACCGGAACGAAUCCCCUCCUGGUAAAUAAUCAGGAGGAUCGACGGUACCGGGAGAAGAAGCCACGGCUAACUCUGUGCCAGCAGCCGCGGUAAGACAGAGGUGGCGAGCGUUGUUCGGAUUUAUUGGGCGUAAAGCGAACGCAGGUGGUUUGGUAAGUCAGGGGUGAAAGCCCACAGCUUAACUGUGGCACUGCCUUUGAUACUGCCUUUCUAGAGUGCAUGAGGGGGAAGCGGAAUUCCGAGUGUAGAGGUGAAAUUCGUAGAUAUUCGGAGGAACACCGGUGGCGAAGGCGGCUUCCUGGCAUGUAACUGACACUCAUGUUCGAAAGCGUGGGUAGCAAACAGGAUUAGA